RNAcentral lists this unclassified non-coding RNA (335 nucleotides) under soil metagenome. Its description in RNAcentral is "partial contains 5.8S ribosomal RNA, internal transcribed spacer 2, and large subunit ribosomal RNA". The stretch from base 1 to 120 matches the Rfam family "5.8S ribosomal RNA", at positions 35 to 154 of the family's 154-position model. The record is from RNAcentral.
GAUGAAGAACGCAGCGAAAUGCGAUAAGUAAUGUGAAUUGCAGAAUUCAGUGAAUCAUCGAAUCUUUGAACGCACAUUGCGCCCGCCAGUAUUCUGGCGGGCAUGCCUGUUCGAGCGUCAUUUCAACCAUCAAGCCCCCGGCUUGUGUUGGGGACCUGCGGCUGCCGCAGGCCCUGAAAACCAGUGGCGGGCUCGCUAGUCACUCCGAGCGUAGUAAUACAUCUCGCUCAGGGCGUGCUGCGGGUUCCGGCCGUUAAAAAGCCUUAUUUACCCAAGGUUGACCUCGGAUCAGGUAGGACUACCCGCUGAACUUAAGCAUAUCAAUAAGCGGAGGA